AACCCAGCAUGAGGACAUUUUAUGUACAUCUCAUUAUACCGUUCCCAAGCUUCAUGUUAAGACUUGUUUGCCUUUUGAGCAAAAGCCAAUAUCUCUUUCUUGAGUGC
Molecule: small nucleolar RNA, 107 nt
Organism: Pyrus x bretschneideri (Chinese white pear)
Lineage: Eukaryota; Viridiplantae; Streptophyta; Magnoliopsida; Rosales; Rosaceae
Source: RefSeq, a predicted model, not a curated record